UUAUUAACCGAGAAGAAUUAAGAAACCCAGAAACUGCUAACUAUCUGCUACUGUGGUUAAAAUCCACA
RNAcentral lists this transfer RNA (68 nucleotides) under Onychodactylus fischeri (Fischer's clawed salamander). RNAcentral describes it as "tRNA-Ser". RNAcentral also lists the same sequence under 1 other name. Lineage: Eukaryota; Metazoa; Chordata; Amphibia; Caudata; Hynobiidae. The record is from RNAcentral.